CUGAAAUGCUACAGGUUUGAAGAUAUUCAUAUUUUUGUGAGGGUAGGCAAGAGAAGAAAGCGAAUCAUUCUUGACAGCAACUUUUUAUAAGGCCAGGCAGCAGAACGCAAGGGUGAAGAAGAACCAAUGCGAUUGUAUCAAUCCGAGGAAGUAAAAAGAGGAAUUCACUGCUGGCUGGGGUAGGUGGUAAGCAUUGUGAAAUGAUCUUUCAUA
Molecule: long non-coding RNA, 213 nt
Filed under: Calidris pugnax (ruff)
Lineage: Eukaryota; Metazoa; Chordata; Aves; Charadriiformes; Scolopacidae
Description: lncRNA (ENSCPUG00000002293.1)
Source: RNAcentral